RNAcentral lists this ribosomal RNA (442 nucleotides) under uncultured bacterium. RNAcentral's name for it is "partial 16S ribosomal RNA". It matches the Rfam family "Bacterial small subunit ribosomal RNA", at positions 339 to 795 of the family's 1533-position model. The record is from RNAcentral.
CUACGGGUUGCAGCAGUGGGGAAUAUUGGGCAAUGGGCGCAAGCCUGACCCAGCAACGCCGCGUGAGGGAAGAAGGUUUUCGGAUUGUAAACCUCUGUCCUUGGGGACGAAGAAGUGACGGUACCCAAGGAGGAAGCUCCGGCUAACUACGUGCCAGCAGCCGGCGGUAAUACGUAGGGAGCAAGCGUUGUCCGGAAUUACUGGGCGUAAAGGGUGCGUAGGCGGCAUAUUAAGUCAGGUGUGAAAUACUCGGGCUCAACCCGGGGGCUGCAUUUGAAACUGAUAUGCUUGAGUGUGAGAGAGGAAAGUGGAAUUCCUAGUGUAGCGGUGGAAUGCGUAGAUAUUAGGAGGAACACCAGUGGCGAAGGCGACUUUCUGGCUCAUAACUGACGCUGAGGCACGAAAGCGUGGGGAGCAAACAGGAUUAGAUACCCCGGUAGUC